RNAcentral lists this ribosomal RNA (368 nucleotides) under uncultured eukaryote. Its description in RNAcentral is "partial 18S ribosomal RNA". It matches the Rfam family "Eukaryotic small subunit ribosomal RNA", at positions 592 to 976 of the family's 1831-position model. The record is from RNAcentral.
CAAUAGCGUAUAUUAACGUUGUUGCAGUUAAAAAGCUCGUAGUUGGAUUUCUGGAGGGAGCGUCGGCCCGUAUUUACGAGUGCGUGACGUCUCUGUCCAUCCUUGCGGGAAGGCACGGCAUUGAUUUGUUGUGUCGGAUCGCAUCAUUUACUGUGAAAAAAUUAGAGUGUUCAAAGCAGGCUUUCGCUUGAAUACAUUAGCAUGGAAUAAUAAGAUAGGACUUUGGUACUAUUUUGUUGGUUUGCGCACCAAAGUAAUGAUUAAUAGGGACAGUUGGGGGUAUUCGUAUUCCGUUGUCAGAGGUGAAAUUCUUGGAUUUACGGAAGACGAACUACUGCGAAAGCAUUUACCAAGGAUGUUUUCAUUAA